This 77-nucleotide transfer RNA is filed under the name Streptomyces melanogenes. RNAcentral describes it as "tRNA-His". The record is from RNAcentral. Lineage: Bacteria; Bacillati; Actinomycetota; Actinomycetes; Kitasatosporales; Streptomycetaceae.
GGCGCCGGUCGUACCGCUUGGUGGUGCGCGGGUCGUUGUGGUCGGCCCACUCCUGGAUCUUGUCGGGGCGGGCGCCG